CAACAGGGAUUGCCUCAGUAACGGCGAGUGAAGCGGCAACAGCUCAAUUUGAAAUCUGGCCUCACGGUCCGAGUUGUAAUUUGUAGAGGAUGCUUUUGGCGAGGUGCUUUCCGAGUUCCCUGGAACGGGACGCCAUAGAGGGUGAGAGCCCCGUACGGUAAGACCACCGAGCCUCUGUAAAGCUCCUUCGACGAGUCGAGUAGUUUGGGAAUGCUGCUCUAAAUGGGAGGUGUACGUCUUCUAAAGCUAAAUACCGGCCAGAGACCGAUAGCGCACAAGUAGAGUGAUCGAAAGAUGAAAAGCACUUUGAAAAGAGGGUUAAAAAGUACGUGAAAUUGUUGAAAGGGAAGCAUUCAUGACCAGACUUGGGCUUGGUUGAACAUCCGGCGUUCUCGCCGGUGCACUCUGCCAGUCCAGGCCAGCAUCAGUUUGCCCCGGGGGACAAAGGCGGUGGGAAUGUGGCUCUCUUCGGGGAGUGUUAUAGCCCGCCGUGUAAUGCCCUGGGGUGGACUGAGGAACGCGCUUCGGCACGGAUGCUGGCGUAAUGGUCAUCAAUGACCCGUCUUGAAACACGGACCAAGGAGUCGUCUUCGUAUGCGAGUGUUCGGGUGUCAAACCCCUACGCGUAAUGAAAGUGAACGUAGGUGAGAGCUUCGGCGCAUCACCGACCGAUCCUGAUGUUCUCGGAUGGAUUUGAGUAAGAGCAUACGGGGCCGGACCCGAAAGAAGGUGAACUAUGCCUGUAUAGGGUGAAGCCAGAGGAAACUCUGGUGGAGGCUCGCAGCGGUUCUGACGUGCAAAUCGAUCGUCAAAUAUGGGCAUGGGGGGCGAAAGACUAAUCGAACCUUCUAGUAGCUGGUU
This 861-nucleotide ribosomal RNA is filed under the name Sarocladium strictum. RNAcentral describes it as "partial large subunit ribosomal RNA". It matches the Rfam family "Eukaryotic large subunit ribosomal RNA", at positions 66 to 956 of the family's 3401-position model. The record is from RNAcentral. Lineage: Eukaryota; Fungi; Ascomycota; Sordariomycetes; Hypocreales; Sarocladiaceae.